AUUGAACGCUGGCGGCAGGCCUAACACAUGCAAGUCGAGCGAGCGGCGGACGGGUGAGUAAUGUAUGGGGACUGCGCGAUCGAGGGGGAUAACUACUGGAAACGGUGGCUAAUACUGCAUACUAUCGGAUAACCCAUAUGGGAUUAGCUAGUAGGUGGGGUAAAGGCUCACCUAGGCGACGAUCUAUAGCUGGGCUGAGAGGAUGAUCAGCCACACUGGGACUGAGACACGGCCCAGACUCCUACGGAGGCAGCAGUGGGGAAUAUUGCACAAUGGGCGCAAGCCUGAUGGAGCCAUGCCGCGUGUGUGAAGAAGGCCUUCGGGUUGUAAAGUACUUUCGGCAGAGAGGCGUUACCCGCAGAGGAAGCACCGGCUAACUCCGUGCCAGCAGCCGCGGUAAUUC
This 403-nucleotide ribosomal RNA is filed under the name uncultured bacterium. Its description in RNAcentral is "partial 16S ribosomal RNA". It matches the Rfam family "Bacterial small subunit ribosomal RNA", at positions 30 to 526 of the family's 1533-position model. The record is from RNAcentral.